RNAcentral lists this ribosomal RNA (402 nucleotides) under uncultured Pseudorhodobacter sp. Its description in RNAcentral is "bacterial SSU rRNA". It matches the Rfam family "Bacterial small subunit ribosomal RNA", at positions 355 to 774 of the family's 1533-position model. The record is from RNAcentral. Lineage: Bacteria; Pseudomonadati; Pseudomonadota; Alphaproteobacteria; Rhodobacterales; Paracoccaceae.
UGGGGAAUCUUAGACAAUGGGGGAAACCCUGAUCUAGCCAUGCCGCGUGAUCGAUGAAGGCCUUAGGGUUGUAAAGAUCUUUCAGAUGGGAAGAUAAUGACGGUACCAUCAGAAGAAGCCCCGGCUAACUCCGUGCCAGCAGCCGCGGUAAUACGGAGGGGGCUAGCGUUAUUCGGAAUUACUGGGCGUAAAGCGCACGUAGGCGGAUCAGAAAGUCAGAGGUGAAAUCCCAGGGCUCAACCUUGGAACUGCCUUUGAAACUCCUGGUCUUGAGGUCGAGAGAGGUGAGUGGAAUUCCGAGUGUAGAGGUGAAAUUCGUAGAUAUUCGGAGGAACACCAGUGGCGAAGGCGGCUCACUGGCUCGAUACUGACGCUGAGGUGCGAAAGCGUGGGGAGCAAACA